This 525-nucleotide ribosomal RNA is filed under the name uncultured bacterium. RNAcentral describes it as "partial 16S ribosomal RNA". It matches the Rfam family "Bacterial small subunit ribosomal RNA", at positions 28 to 523 of the family's 1533-position model. The record is from RNAcentral.
GACGAACGCUGGCGGCGUGCCUAAUACAUGCAAGUCGAGCGCAGGAAGCCGUCUGAACCCUUCGGGGGGACGAACGGUGGAAUGAGCGGCGGACGGGUGAGUAACACGUAAAGAACCUGCCCAUAGGUCUGGGAUAACCACGAGAAAUCGGGGCUAAUACCGGAUGUGUCAUCGGACCGCAUGGUCCGCUGAUGAAAGGCGACCCGGCGUCGCCCAUGGAUGGCUUUGCGGUGCAUUAGCUAGUUGGUGGGGUAACGGCCCACCAAGGCGACGAUGCAUAGCCGACCUGAGAGGGUGAUCGGCCACACUGGGACUGAGACACGGCCCAGACUCCUACGGGAGGCAGCAGUAGGGAAUCUUCCACAAUGGACGAAAGUCUGAUGGAGCAACGCCGCGUGAACGAUGAAGGCUUUCGGGUCGUAAAGUUCUGUUGUAAGGGAAGAACAAGUGCCGCAGGCAAUGGCGGCACCUUGACGGUACCUUGCGAGAAAGCCACGGCUAACUACGUGCCAGCCGCCGCAGUAA